GAUGAAGAACGUAGUGAAAUGCGAUAAUUAAUGUGAAUUGCAGAAUUCAGUGAAUCAUCGAAUCUUUGAACGCACAUUGCGCCCCUUGGUAUUCCGGGGGGCAUGCCUGUUCGAGCGUCAUUAUAACCCCUCAAGCUCAGCUUGGUGUUGGGGCCUGCCAACUGGCAGCCCUUAAAAUCAGUGGCGGCGCCAUCUGGCUCUAAGCGUAGUAAUUUCUCUCGCUAUAGGGUCCCGGUGGAUGCUGGCCAACAACCCCCAAUUUUCUAUGGUUGACCUCGGAUCAGGUAGGGAUACCCGCUGAACUUAAGCAUAUCAAUAAGCGGAGGA
RNAcentral lists this unclassified non-coding RNA (327 nucleotides) under soil metagenome. RNAcentral's name for it is "partial contains 5.8S ribosomal RNA, internal transcribed spacer 2, and large subunit ribosomal RNA". The stretch from base 1 to 120 matches the Rfam family "5.8S ribosomal RNA", at positions 35 to 154 of the family's 154-position model. The record is from RNAcentral.